This 371-nucleotide ribosomal RNA is filed under the name uncultured Enterococcus sp. RNAcentral's name for it is "bacterial SSU rRNA". It matches the Rfam family "Bacterial small subunit ribosomal RNA", at positions 527 to 896 of the family's 1533-position model. Lineage: Bacteria; Bacillati; Bacillota; Bacilli; Lactobacillales; Enterococcaceae. The record is from RNAcentral.
GUAGGUGGCAAGCGUUGUCCGGAUUUAUUGGGCGUAAAGCGAGCGCAGGCGGUUUCUUAAGUCUGAUGUGAAAGCCCCCGGCUCAACCGGGGAGGGUCAUUGGAAACUGGGAGACUUGAGUGCAGAAGAGGAGAGUGGAAUUCCAUGUGUAGCGGUGAAAUGCGUAGAUAUAUGGAGGAACACCAGUGGCGAAGGCGGCUCUCUGGUCUGUAACUGACGCUGAGGCUCGAAAGCGUGGGGAGCAAACAGGAUUAGAUACCCUGGUAGUCCACGCCGUAAACGAUGAGUGCUAAGUGUUGGAGGGUUUCCGCCCUUCAGUGCUGCAGCAAACGCAUUAAGCACUCCGCCUGGGGAGUACGACCGCAAGGUUG